Molecule: unclassified non-coding RNA, 258 nt
Filed under: uncultured fungus
Lineage: Eukaryota; Fungi
Description: partial contains small subunit ribosomal RNA, internal transcribed spacer 1, and 5.8S ribosomal RNA
Rfam family: Eukaryotic small subunit ribosomal RNA (bases 1-73)
Source: RNAcentral
UCAAACUUGGUCAUUUAGAGGAAGUAAAAGUUGUAACAAGGUUUCCGUAGGUGAACCUGCGGAAGGAUCAUUAACAAAUCCAUAUGCGUGAGUUGGGUGGGUAAUUCUGCUGCCUGCUCACGAAUAUUAAACCCGGCUAGUCCGCGAGGGCUAGUUGGAAAUAAAUGCGUGUUAUGUUGACAGUGUGUGAGUGAUUUUUAAUUAUUGACAACUUUUAACAAUGGAUCUCUAGGCUCUUGCAUCGAUGAAGAACGCAGC